GGCACUAUGGCCGAGUGGUUAAGGCGAGAGAUUCGAAUGGUGUAGGCUUAUCUCUUCCGCGUUGCGGGCGCAGGUUCAAGUCCUGCUGGUGUCG
Non-coding RNA from Fomitopsis betulina (razor strop fungus), 94 nucleotides. The record is from the annotation of a GenBank genome assembly. NCBI's taxonomy places the organism in Eukaryota, Fungi, Basidiomycota, Agaricomycetes, Polyporales, Fomitopsidaceae.